RNAcentral lists this unclassified non-coding RNA (200 nucleotides) under Mutinus sp. RNAcentral's name for it is "partial internal transcribed spacer 2". The record is from RNAcentral. Lineage: Eukaryota; Fungi; Basidiomycota; Agaricomycetes; Phallales; Phallaceae.
UUAAGUUCAGCGGGUAGUCCUGCCUGAUUUGAGGUCAAGAUUCGUGUGGUUUUUUUCCAUCCCCGAGGAGGGGACGGAUAACGCGGGCGCAUCCCCGCCAUCCGACAACGCAAACUUAUCACGUCUGGAAUGGGGGGCGGGCGGGCGCGAUGCGUUUCAAGACGAGCCCUCGCGGGCACGCGUCCAAAUCCGAGGGACGC